This 497-nucleotide ribosomal RNA is filed under the name uncultured bacterium. RNAcentral describes it as "partial 16S ribosomal RNA". It matches the Rfam family "Bacterial small subunit ribosomal RNA", at positions 28 to 507 of the family's 1533-position model. The record is from RNAcentral.
GAUGAACGCUGGCGGCGUGCCUAAUACAUGCAAGUCGAGCGAACAGAUGAGGAUCUUGCUCCUCUGACGUUAGCGGCGGACGGGUGAGUAACACGUGGAUAACCUACCUAUAAGACUGGGAUAACUUCGGGAAACCGGAGCUAAUACCGGAUAAUAUAGUGAACCGCAUGGUUCAAUAGUGAAAGACGGUUUUGCUGUCACUUAUAGAUGGAUCCGCGCCGCAUUAGCUAGUUGGUAAGGUAACGGCUUACCAAGGCAACGAUGCGUAGCCGACCUGAGAGGGUGAUCGGCCACACUGGAACUGAGACACGGUCCAGACUCCUACGGGAGGCAGCAGUAGGGAAUCUUCCGCAAUGGGCGAAAGCCUGACGGAGCAACGCCGCGUGAGUGAUGAAGGUCUUCGGAUCGUAAAACUCUGUUAUUAGGGAAGAACAAAUGUGUAAGUAACUAUGCACGUCUUGACGGUACCUAAUCAGAAAGCCACGGCUAACUACGUG